Molecule: small RNA, 825 nt
Filed under: Drosophila yakuba
Lineage: Eukaryota; Metazoa; Arthropoda; Insecta; Diptera; Drosophilidae
Description: GE28124
Source: RNAcentral
GGCGCUUUUUAAAAUCUCUUCCCAUUAUGCCAAAGUGCAAUUCAGACUGAGGCAAAUAUCAUUGGCUUCAGGUUACGAGAGAGACAAUCUGUUAAAAGAUCUGGAGCGAUUAACAGCAAAAGGACUAGAUGCGACUGGUCCCAUACGGGACGAAAAAUUGUCCAUGCAAGCCAAACAUCACGUAAAGCAAGACAAGAUUCUCUGCCAACUGCGAGGAAGUCUCGGAGACUUGGUCGAAACCACUGAUGCUUCCAAUAAAGCUCCCUGCAACAAAGUUGUCAGCCAGGGCGGUGGAAAAAGCUAAAAAAAAAAUUUUGGCCAUGCUAAGGUAGAAAGAAAACAUGGCAAACAUGGAAGGCACGUGUUGUGAUAUUGAGUACGGAAAGCAAGAUACACAUUUUUUGCAUCCCAAGACAACAACUUAUUCGUAGAUAUUCUGGAAAAGUAUAAAAAGGAAGAUUGAAGCAUAUUGCAAGCGAUGAAAUUAUUUUAAGAAUGUGAUAAACAAAAUAAUUUCUUAGAAACUCGAAAAAAGACCGCUAGACCCCUAUUACGGAUCUUUUAUAGCUCUGCACUUAUCUUUAAUGAUAGUUCCAAAAGUUCUUACAAAAAAGAAUUAUUUAGAGCUGUUGUCGAAUAAUAUUAGAUUUAGCAUUAUGAUGAAAAGCAAAAAUUAACUGAGGGAUAGCAAAUAAAACGAAAAGAAGACGAAGACAAAAUUUCAAAAAGAUGAAAGGAUUUUUACAGAAAAUGGUCGCUAUAGUCCUCUACUAUCCAAUAACCCUUACUCAGCUAGUGGAAGUGCCAACAAGUGAUUUGUGGGCG